GAUGAACGCUGGCGGCAGGCUUAAUACAUGCAAGUCGAACGGUAACAGUACUAGCAAUAGUAGCUGACGAGUGGCGCACGGGUGCGUAACGCGUAUGCAACCUACCCAUAAUUGGAACAUAACGUUGAGAAAUUAACGCUAAUAUUUCAUGUGAAUAUGAAGAGGCAUCUUUUUAUAUUUAAAGAUUCAUUGAUUAUGGAUGGGCAUGCGUAUCAUUAGCUAGUUGGUGAGGUAACGGCUCACCAAGGCAACGAUGAUUAGGGGUUCUGAGAGGAUAUCCCCCCACACUGGAACUGAGACACGGUCCAGACUCCUACGGGGGGCAGCAGUAGGGAAUAUUGGGCAAUGGAAGCAAUUCUGACCCAGCCAUGCCGCGUGAAGGAAUACAGCCCUAUGGGUUUUAAACUUCUUUUAUUAUAGAUUAACCGGAGGUACGUGUACCUCCCUGCAAGUAUAUGAUGAAUAAGGAUCGGCUAACUCCGUGCCAGC
This 489-nucleotide ribosomal RNA is filed under the name uncultured bacterium. Its description in RNAcentral is "bacterial SSU rRNA". It matches the Rfam family "Bacterial small subunit ribosomal RNA", at positions 28 to 512 of the family's 1533-position model. The record is from RNAcentral.